This 248-nucleotide ribosomal RNA is filed under the name uncultured Staphylococcus sp. RNAcentral's name for it is "partial 16S ribosomal RNA". It matches the Rfam family "Bacterial small subunit ribosomal RNA", at positions 92 to 334 of the family's 1533-position model. The record is from RNAcentral. Lineage: Bacteria; Bacillati; Bacillota; Bacilli; Caryophanales; Staphylococcaceae.
UUAGCGGCGGACGGGUGAGUAACGCGUGGAUAACCUACCUAUAAGACUGGGAUAACUUCGGGAAACCGGGGCUAAUACCGGAUAACACAUGAAACCGCAUGGUUUCAUGAUGAAAGACGGUUUUGCUGUCACUUAUAGAUGGACCCGCGGCGUAUUAGCUAGUUGGUAAGGUAACGGCUUACCAAGGCAACGAUACGUAGCCGACCUGAGAGGGUGAUCGGCCACACUGGAACUGAGACACGGUCCAG